Molecule: ribosomal RNA, 252 nt
Filed under: uncultured bacterium
Lineage: Bacteria
Description: partial 16S ribosomal RNA
Rfam family: Bacterial small subunit ribosomal RNA
Source: RNAcentral
GACGUAGGGCGCGAGCGUUGUCCGGAUUUAUUGGGCGUAAAGAGCUCGUAGGUGGCGUGUCGCGUCUGCCGUGAAAGCCCAUGGCUUAACUGUGGGUCUGCGGUGGAUACGGGCAGGCUGGAGGCUGGUAGGGGCAAGCGGAAUUCCUGGUGUAGCGGUGAAAUGCGCAGAUAUCAGGAAGAACACCUAUGGCGAAGGCAGCUCUCUGGGACGGUACUGACGCUGAGACGCGAAAGCGUGGGAGCGAACAGG